GUGAUAAUUUGCCCUUUAAUUGAAGGAUGGAAUGAAUGGUUUGACGUAUAACUUCUUUUUUUAUAUAACUUACUGAAGUUUCUUUUUAAGUGAAAAAGCUUAAAUUUUUAAAAAAGACGAGAAGACCCUGUCGAACUUAAUUAAAAAUAUAAGAAAAUUAUGUUUGAAAAUUUUGUUGGGGCAACACUAAUUAAAUUAACAAUUAGUUUGUGAGCAUAAAUCCUUUUUGAAAGAAAAUGGAAAAAGUUCCCGCAGGGAUAACAGCGUUAUUUCUUAAGAGAUCGUAUUGAGAGAGAAG
RNAcentral lists this ribosomal RNA (298 nucleotides) under Lirophora paphia. Its description in RNAcentral is "partial 16S ribosomal RNA". The record is from RNAcentral. Lineage: Eukaryota; Metazoa; Mollusca; Bivalvia; Venerida; Veneridae.